RNAcentral lists this ribosomal RNA (497 nucleotides) under uncultured bacterium. RNAcentral's name for it is "partial 16S ribosomal RNA". It matches the Rfam family "Bacterial small subunit ribosomal RNA", at positions 28 to 507 of the family's 1533-position model. The record is from RNAcentral.
GAUGAACGCUGGCGGCGUGCCUAAUACAUGCAAGUCGAGCGAACAGACGAGGAGCUUGCUCCUCUGACGUUAGCGGCGGGCGGGUGAGUAACACGUGGAUAACCUACCUAUAAGACUGGGAUAACUUCGGGAAACCGGAGCUAAUACCGGAUAAUAUAUUGAACCGCAUGGUUCAAUAGUGAAAGACGGUUUUGCUGUCACUUAUAGAUGUAUCCGCGCCGCAUUAGCUAGUUGGUAAGGUAACGGCUUACCAAGGCAACGAUGCGUAGCCGACCUGAGAGGGUGAUCGGCCACACUGGAACUGAGACACGGUCCAGACUCCUACGGGAGGCAGCAGUAGGGAAUCUUCCGCAAUGGGCGAAAGCCUGACGGAGCAACGCCGCGUGAGUGAUGAAGGUCUUCGGAUCGUAAAACUCUGUUAUUAGGGAAGAACAAAUGUGUAAGUAACUAUGCACGUCUUGACGGUACCUAAUCAGAAAGCCACGGCUAACUACGUG